UGCUCCCCCGUCCAGGACAUGUCCUACUAUACGAAGACCAGUGGUACGAUCGACGUGAUUGGAGGAGGGACCGCUACCAUCAGCAGAGUGGAGGGACGACGAAGACACAACCUGGAGGAAACAACAUCCAGGUGAUUUCGGAACACUCGUCGUCGGACGCUGAGCAAAACCCCAACAAGAUGCCCCCCUUCUUCCCCCGGCCCCCUCCCCCAAA
Molecule: long non-coding RNA, 214 nt
Organism: Oncorhynchus tshawytscha (Chinook salmon)
Lineage: Eukaryota; Metazoa; Chordata; Actinopteri; Salmoniformes; Salmonidae
Exons: 3
Source: RefSeq, a predicted model, not a curated record